GUGAUGACUAAGUGGUAGAACAUCUGUCUUGCAUGCAGAACGUCCCAGGUUCGAUCCCUGGUGUCUCCA
Molecule: non-coding RNA, 69 nt
Organism: Podarcis lilfordi (Lilford's wall lizard)
Lineage: Eukaryota; Metazoa; Chordata; Lepidosauria; Squamata; Lacertidae
Source: the annotation of a GenBank genome assembly